Molecule: long non-coding RNA, 2870 nt
Organism: Sinocyclocheilus rhinocerous
Lineage: Eukaryota; Metazoa; Chordata; Actinopteri; Cypriniformes; Cyprinidae
Exons: 4
Source: RefSeq, a predicted model, not a curated record
CGUUUGUUCUUUGUGUUUGCCACCAUGCUGAGUUCAGUGUCUGCCUGGCUGGUUAUCAUCAUCCUCAUCCUCCUCAGUCUGCUGCCAGAGAUCCUUUUGGUGGUCCUUCGCAAGCCCAGAGGCCCCCAUUCACGACAGAAAAAGCAGAGUCAGUCAAAUGUUGGGGGCAACCAAUCCUCUCAGUCUUCAGCCAGACCCCUGCUCUUGAGAACCUUUUCAGACGAGUCAAAUUCUGUCAUGUGAACAGCUGUCAGAGGAUUCCUCGACUGACACAUACAGAUGGCUGCGGUCACACCUCUCUCCUACAAGCAUCUGAAGGAGCGCCACUGUGAUGGGCACAGACAGCCUUUGGUUAAGACUACUGAUGGGCCCCUCACAUCUGCCGGGGUCGCUGCGCUUCCUCUUGCCUGUUUAAAUGAAUCAUGACAAUGGAACUUAAACUGCUUUACUGUUACAGCUUAUCUUAAAGCCUUCCAUCUCAGCACGAUUCCACAAAAACUGUUUUCUGCCCUGUCCUACUGCCAAACUCCCAUAUUCAACCCUACCGGGAUGAAUGUGUCACUGGCAAAAUCGUCAGUAGCGCUCGACUGCUACAGAAUGUGCCAACAUCCCUGCUCCACCUGGUUCCUCCUUAUUGGUUGUCUUUCCUGAUCGCCCCAAAAAAAGUCCCAUAAAUGCCACUUUUCAUACUCUCUGAUUUUCUUUACUUUGUAGGCAGACAGUUGGCUCCUUUUGUGAUCGGUUACCAGCUGUGAUCACAAUCCCAAAUCGUAGAUUAGAGUUUUGUGAUAUGUAGCUGUUCAAGAUUCCUAAAUGUGAGCUCUCUCUAAGAUGCUGCACUGCGGGCCCUGACCCUAUGGGUAUAAAAGCUGCCUUUCAACAAUUUGCUGUUUGUUCGACCACAUGGAGUUCUGGGAUAUCCCACGGAGCCCAACAACUCCAUAUGUGUCCGUGUGUGUGAGAAAUCGAAAAUCAAUUACAGAUUUUCUUCAGAUAUUUCUUAUAAUGUACUGUCACAGUCUUUCAAUGUUACUCUUUGUUGAAACGGGGAUCAGUUUACAGUUGAGUUACAAAUUGUACUAGUGAAAAGUGUGGAAAAUGUUGCUUGAUGCCAAAAAAAAAAGAAGAGAGAUUCCAUUAAAACGGACGACCGGCUGUCUUCAGUUUUUCCUUGAAGAUAGAUUAUCCAUGGUUACGGCACACAUUAGGAUUGGUUCUCGAUGCAGAGUUAAUUGCAUAUUUCAGAGUGAGUCCGAGUUAAGCAUCUAUUCAAUGUUGAGCCAUUAAUGACACAUAUAUUGAAUGUGUCAGCUUUAUAUACCAGGCCAGUGCUCAAAAACACACUUUCACGUCCACAUGCAUACAUUUCACUUUUGAGGUUACUGAUUAAAUCACUUAUAAGCGGUGGAGCUUAGAUUGGUGAAAUAAGAGCUUUGGGUCCGAUGCAUAUUGAACUCAUGUGUGCCCUCUAGUGGUUUGGAGGGCAAUCUUCAUUCUACUUUUUUUCACUUCUAAAUACAUUCCAUUUCUACGUGCCAUAAUUUCAGUCACUUUUUAGAUUAUAAUUGAAUUAUUUUGUUCUUGACUAUGUGAUUCUAUUUGACAUAUUUAUUGUUCCUUGUAAUUAUUCUUACAAAUGUUGUAUUUUUGUCAGAGGUAUUUCUUUCUCUUCUUAACUUGUUAAUCAUUAUCAGCUUGUGCCAACUGAUUUUUUUAUUUUAUUUAUUUAGUAUUAUUUUAUUUUAUUUUUUAUUUUUGCCUGUGCAAUCCGCUGUUGAACAGAUUGGGUUUCUAUAUACAGACCCUGUAAACCAGCAGCUCUGGUCUAUUUCUCUGGUCAGAGAUCAGUCCUAUAGAUCCUUCCUUAAUAUAUGGUGUGAAUGCAGCUGAAAUCUCUGUGUCCCUUUAAUACGAAUGAUCUAUUCCAUUCUUCUUUCUGCUUGUAGCCCAAAAUGGGCCACUGCCUGGCAUGUUCUGUAAUCGGGCAAAUUUCUUGAUUAUGUUUCUCCUAAAACAAUGCCAUAGGAAAGAUGCCACAUUCCUGCUUCAACUAUUUUCAAGUGUGUGUGUGUGUGUGUGUGUGUAUUAUCCAAGGGAAAGUGGUGUGUGCUAGACCUCUGACUGUGUCAUGAUGCUAAGCAUCUUAAGCUCAGCUCCCAGUCUUGGGCCGGGCUUAAUCCAGCUGUAUCACAGCCCCGCGUAACCGCCAGGCCUUCUUUUAAUUUCUGAUUACAUCUUGAAUUAGCUUCCCAGAGAAAAUAUAUCAGAGCUUUAUUUACAUUUGCUUUCAGCUAGACGGGUGAGGCCAGUUAGUAUGAUGUUUCAUUGUGAACAUUAGCCCAAUGUGAGCACGAUUUUGUUUUUCUCGAUGCAUGUGUGACUACUAAUGCCACCACUGGACUGAACCCUGGUGAGCACAUACACACUCACACCAAGAUGAAGACACAUCCAUGUGUUUGUUCAGCUCAGUUUGGGAGGGGAAAACAGAACUUGCUUGCAAUAUUUGAAAUUUCCAAACAGACCUUUAAAUUACUUCAGAGAUGCUAUUUUCAAAGCUUAUAAUAAUUCUUGGAUUCUCAUGUUGCCUGAAUAUAUAUAAAUAUUUGAUUGUAUUUUUAAUGAAACUUUUUGAGCCAAUUUUUGUAAGAAAAAGAAAACGUCCAAAAAACAAAACAAAAAAAGGCUGAGAAAGGCGGCCUGAUUGUGGAGCGUGAGGCAGGGCUGUGGUGUGUUGCUGUGAAUUGAAUCAGGCGCUAGCACGGUCAGCCCUGCUUCCUCCAUCAUGUCCCUCAGGCUCCAGAUGAUCUGAAUGUACCUCUCAAGACCAGUCUGUUUCAAAACAUUUUCUUUAAUAAAAGCUGUUUUGAAAG